UAUCUUUUUUUUUAGUUUUUGACAUGAAAAUGAACUACAGUGAAACUUCUCCAAACCGGCCCCUCAGAAAACCAGUCCUCCCUGAAUAUCGGCCUAAUUUUGAAAUCUUAACAUUUCCGUACAAAGAAAUUCUCACAAAACUGGCCACCCUUGAAAACUGGACAUUGAUAACUUUUUAUUGAACAUUUCUUAACAAACAUGUGUAAUUUUCCUUCAUAAUACCUGCCACUUUUUAAGACCAGUAAAUUUUGGGUCAGAGGGUUGUGUCAGGUGUGAAGAAUGACCAACCAGCCAGGCGGAAAAUUAUCCACUAGAGGUGAAAAAUACAAGUGGCCUAAAAAAUUUCUAUGGUUUACCUGUGAUGUUAGGGUGUUAGUGCCACCUGGUAAGUGCAAGUGACCCUUCCAAAUUCUCUACAAAAUGUAAUGGUUAUUGAACACAGCAUCGAACGCCUUAUUGUUGCACCAUACUAUCGUAUGGAUAUAAGCACAGGCACCUGAAGUGUGGAUAGAUUGUAUAGAUCUUAUGUAGUACAUGUACAUCCCCCCUCUUCUAGAAUGAAAUUAUUUUGAUUCAGAACCAAUAAUUUAUCUAAAAUAUGUUCGAUCACCCUCAUAAGUCAUUCUGAAUAGUCAGUUUCUACCUUCUGUAAGCUUUUGAGAUGACCACUUGUGAGAUACUAAUUAGGGCCCCACAUGAAAUGCGGGAAGCCCUAUAGCAUGUAUAGUAAUCACAUUGUCUGUCUGUCCGUCAACACUUUCUUUGUUACACGAUAACUCAAACAGUUUUUAUUGUACAGUUUUCAAAUUUUGUACAGAGAUAAGAGGAAUGUACAUUAAAGGGACUGGUUCACGAUUUUUGAUAGAAAUAUUUUUCAUUUUUGAUGUUAAACAUUAGAAAUAUAACUCAUUUAAUGUUGACAGCCAAAAUUUUGACCUUCUGAAUGCAAGAAUGAAAGCAAUAUUUUAGCCUUAAAUAUGUGUUAUGUAAACAAAGACUCGAGUCUUUUUAUGUAAACAAACAAACAAGUGAAAUAUUGAUUUUGUAAUAUAAUGCAUCUUAAUUUUGCAUAGUCACAAAUUUUAACUUUUAGAUGACACAUUUCACCCCAAAAAUGCUUGAAAUAUGAAAGAUAUAAUAAUACUUAGAUCGAUAUCCAUUUCUUUUGAAAAGGACUAAGACCAUGUUAACUUUAUCAAAAUUCGGCCUAACGUCCAAAGUGAAUAAUUUUUUGUUAGAAAUAUUCUCUAACAUGUUCUUUUCCUAUAAUGUACUGGUUUUUAUAUGUAGAGUUCGUGAAAGAACACUAUUUUAAGGUUUACAUUACUAGUAUAAAUCCUAUAAUUUGCUCUACUUUUUAAGAUUGCGUCAUACAACGUCGCUAUAUAUUAUUAGAAGUGGUAACAUAUUGUAAAACAUAAUUAUGCAAUGAGUGGUUUAAUAUAUAAUAAGAUCUUGAAAAAGAAAUUUUCUUUCCCAAUACGCAAUAAGGUUAUUUUACUUAUAGCCCGAAUGGCACACCAUAUUUUUCAAUCCUUCAUUCGGCCAUUUUCACACGCCGCGCCGUUAGCCUGUUUGAGCUGUUCGUGGAAGUUGCAGAGGAUGUACUCAUCGCAUUUCAACGAUGAUAUAAUAUGUACAGCAAAAAUUGAUGGCAAGGGUGACAUGAAUCAGAUUGACAAGAAUCCAUAUUCCUACUCCUCAAUAAUGCUAUCAUCACUGCCAUCAGAUUCAUCAAUGAUAGUGGCAUCAGUGACACAUGAGGAUAAGUGUUGGACAUCACUGCAGGAAUAGCUUCCUUGUUGUGCCUGCCAAUAGCAAGGUACCAGAUUAUACAGCAGUUAUGUGGAAACAGAUUCCCACAAUAGGGGGACCAGAUUGACACCUACAUUGUACAGUAUCAGGCAGUUAUAUCAAAACUGGAAAAACUGGAUCCAAACAAGACUAUAUUGCUUGGAAGAAACAUGUCGACUCUGAAGUUUAACCCUUAUUAACCCAUGGCACUUCCAGAGACAUCCUGAUACCAUGGUUCUAUGUCAUUUGAAAUAUACCUGUGGAGGUUUUUAAAGUGUUUUUUUUGGGGGGGGGUGUUAUUAAUUGGAAGAAUUCAUAUUUGAUGAUUCAAAUGAAAAUCUGCAUGUUGAAUUAUGAAUGUCAUAAUGUACUUUUUGAAUGAGUUCAAGAAUGGUUGUCCUGAUGAAAAGUGUAGAGUCAAAAGUUAUCAAAUUGUCAAAAACACUGGUCAGGUCUGAAUUCAUCAUCUUGGACACCUUGCAGUUGGAAUUAUGAUCUCUAUGAAGAAAUGCUGAAAAUCUUGCAAAAGAGGAAAUGACAAGUUGGGGUCCAAGGCACUUGCAUAUAUGCAUGAGAAGGUGUUCUAUCCAGGCUUGAGGUCAAUUACAUAGUACUGUAAUGCCUUACAUUACCUAGAAAAUUUUGCAUUACCAUUACUCCUAUUUUAAAAUAUAAUGUAUUACAUUACUUGAGAGUGAAUUUACAUUACACAUUUACAUAACAUACUGUCAGAUAUUAAAGAAAUGGCAGAAAAAUUAUUUCUGUAUUAUGAUUUUUAAUUAUACAUUAACAUAAGUACACAAAAUAUUCAGCAAUGUUAGGAAACAUAUCUAUUAAGUUAUUCAUUGCAUUUGAUUGUCAUCAAUGUUUCAAAUGCUUCAGUCAAUUACUAAUAAAAUGAAUUAUUCUAAAUCUUCAAAAUAUCAUCAAAUAUUUGAAGUAGUGUAAAUGUAAUGAAAAAUAAUGUGCAGUACAGUAUGCAUUACAUUACCAUUACUUGUAAUGCAAAAAUGGUCCAUUACACCCCCAUUACAUUGAAUUGGCUGUCAUUUAAUUACCAUUACCCCAGCCCUGGUUCUGUCGAGAGGUAUUGAAAUUGUCUGUAGAGACUUUGUCUCAGGAAGUGGCCGAGAUUGGUGGUGACAAUUUUGUUGGAUGUGAAUUUACUGAUACACAUGUCUACACUUGCUACACAAUAUAGCAUGUGGUGGUUUCAACAAGAAAGUUCUUACUCUUCAGGAAAUGACGAAUAGCUAAUGGAUUCACAUUUUUUCUGACUUUUCUUCUGUACAUUAGAUGCAUUGGAAAAACUUUCCUUUCCAUUAUCUUUUGCUGGUUCAUACUUUGAAAUAAAAUCAAGUCCGAAAAUAAA
This is a long non-coding RNA of Ostrea edulis (European flat oyster), 3166 nucleotides long. RefSeq lists it as uncharacterized. The record is from RefSeq and is a predicted model, not a curated record. NCBI's taxonomy places the organism in Eukaryota, Metazoa, Mollusca, Bivalvia, Ostreida, Ostreidae. The transcript has 2 exons.